AUAUGGAAGAUUCGAACCUGCCGCAGGUUCGGGUCUCACGUAGUGAGACAACGGAGCCGCUUGCGGCGACGGCCCGAAGGGCGAGCAAAGCGAGUCAUCCUGCACGACCCACCA
Molecule: small RNA, 114 nt
Filed under: Salmonella enterica subsp. enterica serovar Heidelberg
Lineage: Bacteria; Pseudomonadati; Pseudomonadota; Gammaproteobacteria; Enterobacterales; Enterobacteriaceae
Also listed under: 5 other names
Description: partial RtT sRNA
Rfam family: RtT RNA
About the family: This family represents a bacterial cis-regulatory element known as RtT RNA. The exact function of RtT is unknown although it is thought that it may be involved in changing the cellular response in relation to amino acid starvation.
Source: RNAcentral